CCUACGGGUGGCAGCAGUGAGGAAUAUUGGUCAAUGGGCGGAAGCCUGAACCAGCCAAGUAGCGUGCAGGAUGACGGCCCUAUGGGUUGUAAACCGCUUUUAUACGGGAAUAACGCGGGUUACGUGUGGCGGUUUGCAGGUACCGCAUGAAUAAAGACCGGCUAAUUCCGUGCCAGCAGCCGCGGUAAUACGGAAGGUCCGGGCGUUAUCCGGAUUUAUUUGGUUUAAAGGGAUCGUAGGCCGGAUUUUAAGCUUGCUGUGAAAUUUUCGGGCUCAACCCGGGCAGUGCGGCGCGAACUGGAGACCUUGAGUGCGCGGGAGGCAUGCGGAAUGCGUGGUGUAGCGGUGAAAUGCUUAGAUAUGACGAAGAACCCCGAUUGCGAAGGCAGCUUGCUGCAGCGUGACUGACGCUGAUGCUCGAAAGCGCGGGUAUCGAACAGGAUUAGAUACCCUGGUAGUC
RNAcentral lists this ribosomal RNA (460 nucleotides) under uncultured bacterium. Its description in RNAcentral is "partial 16S ribosomal RNA". It matches the Rfam family "Bacterial small subunit ribosomal RNA", at positions 338 to 795 of the family's 1533-position model. The record is from RNAcentral.